GAGUUUGAUCCUGGCUCAGGAUAAACGCUGGCGGCGCACAUAAGACAUGCAAGUCGAACGGACUUAACCAUUAGUUUACUAUUGGAGCGGUUAGUGGCGGACUGGUGAGUAACACGUAAGCAACCUGCCUAUCAGAGGGGAACAACAGUUAGAAAUGACUGCUAAUACCGCAUAUGCCUUGAGUUACGCAUGUAACGAAAGGGAAAGGAGCAAUCCGCUGAUAGAUGGGCUUGCGUCUGAUUAGAUAGUUGGUGGGGUAACGGCCUACCAAGUCGACGAUCAGUAGCCGGACUGAGAGGUUGAACGGCCACAUUGGGACUGAGAUACGGCCCAGACUCCUACGGGAGGCAGCAGUCGGGAAUAUUGCGCAAUGGAGGAAACUCUGACGCAGUGACGCCGCGUGCAGGAAGAAGGUUUUCGGAUUGUAAACUGCUUUAGACAGGGAAGAUAAUGACAGUACCUGUAGAAUAAGCUCCGGCUAACUACGUGCCAGCAGCCGCGGUAAUACGUAGGGAGCAAGCGUUAUCCGGAUUUAUUGGGUGUAAAGGGUGCGUAGGCGGGAAGGCAAGUUAGUUGUGAAAUCCCUCGGCUUAACUGAGGAACUGCAACUAAAACUAUCUUUCUUG
RNAcentral lists this ribosomal RNA (626 nucleotides) under uncultured bacterium. RNAcentral's name for it is "bacterial SSU rRNA". It matches the Rfam family "Bacterial small subunit ribosomal RNA", at positions 9 to 644 of the family's 1533-position model. The record is from RNAcentral.